Molecule: unclassified non-coding RNA, 316 nt
Filed under: plant metagenome
Description: partial contains 5.8S ribosomal RNA, internal transcribed spacer 2, and large subunit ribosomal RNA
Rfam family: 5.8S ribosomal RNA (bases 1-106)
Source: RNAcentral
GAACUGCGAUAAGUAAUGUGAAUUGCAGAAUUCAGUGAAUCAUCGAGUCUUUGAACGCACAUUGCGCCCCCCUGGCAUUCCGGGGGGCAUGCCUGUCCGAGCGUCAUUGCUGCCCAUCAAGCCCGGCUUGUGUGUUGGGUCGUCGUCCCCCCCGGGGGACGGGCCCGAAAGGCAGCGGCGGCACCGUGUCCGGUCCUCGAGCGUAUGGGGCUUUGUCACCCGCUCGACUAGGGCCGGCCGGGCGCCAGCCGACGUCUCCAACCAUUUUUCUUCAGGUUGACCUCGGAUCAGGUAGGGAUACCCGCUGAACUUAAGC